AUACGGAGGGUGCAAGCGUUACUCGGAAUCACUGGGCGUAAAGCGCGCGCAGGCGGGCUGAUAAGCGGGGAGUGAAAGCCUACGGCUCAACCGUAGAACUGCUUCCCGAACUGGCAGUCUAGAGUCUGGGAGGGGCAGAUGGAAUUAGUGGUGUAGGGGUAAAAUCCGUAGAGAUCACUAGGAAUACCGAAAGCGAAGGCGAUCUGCUGGAACAGAACUGACGCUGAGGCGCGAAAGCGUGGGGAGCAAACAGGAUUAGAAACCCUAGUAGUCC
RNAcentral lists this ribosomal RNA (274 nucleotides) under uncultured bacterium. RNAcentral describes it as "partial 16S ribosomal RNA". It matches the Rfam family "Bacterial small subunit ribosomal RNA", at positions 523 to 796 of the family's 1533-position model. The record is from RNAcentral.